UACGGAGGAUCCAAGCGUUAUCCGGAAUCAUUGGGUUUAAAGGGUCCGUAGGCGGUUUUAUAAGUCAGUGGUGAAAUCUGGUCGCUCAACGAUCAAACGGCCAUUGAUACUGUAGAACUUGAAUUACUUGGAAGUAACUAGAAUAUGUAGUGUAGCGGUGAAAUGCUUAGAGAUUACAUGGAAUACCAAUUGCGAAGGCAGGUUACUGCGAGUAUAUUGACGCUGAUGGACGAAAGCGUGGGGAGCGAACAGG
RNAcentral lists this ribosomal RNA (253 nucleotides) under uncultured bacterium. RNAcentral's name for it is "partial 16S ribosomal RNA". It matches the Rfam family "Bacterial small subunit ribosomal RNA", at positions 524 to 776 of the family's 1533-position model. The record is from RNAcentral.